This 443-nucleotide long non-coding RNA is filed under the name Sorghum bicolor (sorghum). RNAcentral's name for it is "long non-coding RNA (SBIC_LNC000446)". Lineage: Eukaryota; Viridiplantae; Streptophyta; Magnoliopsida; Poales; Poaceae. The record is from RNAcentral.
UGGCCCGUGGUGACCCAUGUACAUAUUAUGAGAUAAUUAUGGAGAAUUUAGUCCCACUUUGAUUGUUAAAGAGGGGUUAGACCAACGUAGAAGGCUUCUAUUUUUUUAGGCGAAGUGAGGAUGAAAUUGUAAGUCAGAUGGUGGUAGGUGUGGUUCGCUCAGCGUACACUAUAAGGUGUUACAUCCGCUGUCAAAAACUGUGACAGGUGUCAACCAUUUGGACUCUGAGGCAUUACAUCCUCUAUCAUAAAACUGUGACGGGUGUCUUCCAUGUCAACCGUCUCUCUAUUCUCUUAUAAUCUACCGACAAGGCCGAUGAGCAUUGGCCCUUCCUCUCCACCCCCAAGUGUACUAAUUUUAGAAAAUGGAAAAAUCCAGCAACUGCACACAGCUAAGUGUUACAAUAUUGUCUAUAAUAAAAAUAAAAUAAAAAAGAGUGAGUG